AGCUUUGCACAGUGGCAGCAUCGUAGCCAAUGAGGUUUAUCUGAGGCGUGAUUAUUGCUAAUACACCAAAAAUAGGAUCUUAUACUGAGCAACUCACUUGUCUCAUUCAACAAAAUUUUCGGGAAACCUUUCCAUCUUCCUCAACAUAGGU
Molecule: small nuclear RNA, 151 nt
Filed under: Canis lupus familiaris (dog)
Lineage: Eukaryota; Metazoa; Chordata; Mammalia; Carnivora; Canidae
Also listed under: 1 other name
Description: U4 spliceosomal RNA (multiple genes)
Rfam family: U4 spliceosomal RNA (bases 1-133)
About the family: U4 small nuclear RNA (U4 snRNA) is a component of the major U2-dependent spliceosome. The structure of U4 snRNA from yeast and human has been reported.
Source: Rfam by way of RNAcentral